UACGAAGGGGGCUAGCGUUGUUCGGAAUCACUGGGCGUAAAGGGCGCGUAGGCGGGUCGUUAAGUCAGGGGUGAAAUCCCAGAGCUCAACUCUGGAACUGCCUUUGAUACUGGCGACCUAGAGUUCGGAAGAGGUUAGUGGAAUUCCCAGUGUAGAGGUGAAAUUCGUAGAUAUUGGGAAGAACACCAGUGGCGAAGGCGGCUAACUGGUCCGAUACUGACGCUGAGGUGCGAAAGCGUGGGGAGCAAACAGG
This 253-nucleotide ribosomal RNA is filed under the name uncultured bacterium. RNAcentral describes it as "partial 16S ribosomal RNA". It matches the Rfam family "Bacterial small subunit ribosomal RNA", at positions 524 to 776 of the family's 1533-position model. The record is from RNAcentral.